RNAcentral lists this ribosomal RNA (250 nucleotides) under uncultured prokaryote. Its description in RNAcentral is "partial 16S ribosomal RNA". It matches the Rfam family "Bacterial small subunit ribosomal RNA", at positions 524 to 773 of the family's 1533-position model. The record is from RNAcentral.
UACGUAGGGAGCGAGCGUUGUCCGGAAUGACUGGGCGUAAAGGGCGUGUAGACGGCCUGAUAAGUCUGGAGUGAAAGUCCCGUUUUCAAGAUGGGAAUUGCUUUGGAGACUGUCGGGCUUGAGUGCGGAAGAGGUAAGUGGAAUUCCCAGUGUAGCGGUGAAAUGCGUAGAGAUUGGGAGGAACACCAGUGGCGAAGGCGACUUACUGGGCCGUAACUGACGUUGAGGCGCGAAAGCGUGGGGAGCGAAC